AUCAUUAAGCGGAGGAAAAGAAACUAACAAGGAUUCCCCUAGUAACGGCGAGUGAAGCGGGAACAGCCCAGCGCUGAAUCCCUCGCCUGCGAGGCGACGGGAACUGUGGCGUUUAGGAGAGUCUCUGCAUUGACUUCGGGCGUCCGAGUCCUCCUGAUCGGGGCUUCACCCAGAGCGGGUGUCAGGCCUCUACGGCCCCGUCCGUCAUUGCUCUGAGCCUCCUUGGAGUCGGGUUGUUUGGGAAUGCAGCCCAAAGUGGGUGGUAAACUCCAUCUAAGGCUAAAUACCGACACGAGUCCGAUAGCGGACAAGUACCGUGAGGGAAAGUU
This is a ribosomal RNA of 329 nucleotides. It matches the Rfam family "Eukaryotic large subunit ribosomal RNA", at positions 42 to 365 of the family's 3401-position model.